This is a long non-coding RNA of Marmota monax (woodchuck), 2482 nucleotides long. RefSeq lists it as uncharacterized. The transcript has 3 exons. NCBI's taxonomy places the organism in Eukaryota, Metazoa, Chordata, Mammalia, Rodentia, Sciuridae. The record is from RefSeq and is a predicted model, not a curated record.
UUUUUUUCUUUUUAGAAAACAAUUUUUAAAAUCUGUAAAAGAUUUUAAAAAUAUUUUGUGAAUAUUUUUAUUUUAAAAUAUUUCACAGGAUAUAAAUUAACUGUGUGUAUUUACACAGACAACAACUUCACUAAUUUACAAACCAAUGGGUUUCAUUUCCCCCUAAUUAUGAUUAAAGAAAUGUAAAGCAACUUUAACCCCCCUCCCCCCAAAAAAAUCAUAGGAUUUUUUCCCCCAGUUAAGAAAGCCAUUGUUGGAUUCUCUGAUAUACUUAGAAAUGACACUAAUUCAUUUACCCCUAAGCACUUACUGGGAACCAGAACUGCAUUAGAUAUUUCUAAUGCUUGUUGGAUUUUAAUUUUUUCUAACUUAAGUUGUAACUAAAGUCUUUGAGAAAAAUUUCAACUUCACAUCUCUCUGCAAUGAACUUUAAAAUUGGAAAGAUUCUUCUAGAACUAUCUACACUGUUUCUUGUAGAAGAAAUGAGACAGUCCUGGCUGGUCCACUUGGAGCCCAUGGGCUUUCUGGGUUCUCCAUCUAUUAGCAAUGGCAGAUAAAAUGUCCUUUUUUGGCCAGGAGAUUGACAUCUAAUAUGAACCCUGGGGUGAGGAGAAGAUUGGGCUCACAAGAGCACCACUAUAAUUAGACUGUUAAACUUAGAAAUGUGGACACUGAACACUGACCUGACCUCUCUGUCCAGUGCAGGUCCAGGCCAAGGAGAAUAGACAAUGGGCAAAGCAUCAGCUCCUGCUCUCUCUAAAAUUACACUGUUAUUACAGUAGCCACUAACAAAGGAUCUGGGGUAGCCGUGUGGGAGUCCUCCAAGGAUCGAAGCAGGCUUCAGAUCCAGAGACCCUCUAGUCAUCCAUGCAGAGCAAGGAUGGAGAGUAGGGAAUGGAUUUGCAACCACAGCAGGACCCAUGGUUAUUGAGUAAGAGAUGAGGAGGGUACCUGUCCAGGCUAUGAGAGAGGAAGUUGGCAGGCUGGAUCUGGAGGUCCAGUCAACUAUUGGGGACCUGAAGGCCCUGCAGGGCCAGGCUCUUCUCCUGCUCUCUUUCCUCCUGCCAUCCUCCUGCCAUCUCUUUCCUCCUGACACUCUCCUGGAUACCACUGGGACUCAAGGACAUACCUAGGUAAAAGGAUUCUGUGGGCCUCUAGAGUUCUGCUUCUCUAAGUAUGGUCCAUGGACCAGCAACACUGGCAGAAAUGCAAAAUCUCAGGCCCCAACCCAGACCAGCCCAGGACCCAUGGAGUCAGAACCUGGAUUGUAACAAGAUCUCCAAGAGAUUCAUCUGAACAUUAAGGUUUGAGAAGCCCUGCCCUGUUCGGGCCUUCCUGUACUCUGCCUGCAGGAGAGUGGCUGUGGUGGUUAAAUUGAGAGUGGCAUCUGCGAAGCCACACGCAGCUCUGCCUGGGUCCUGCUGGUACUAGCUGUAGAGUCUUGGCAUCAUCUUCCUGUGCGUCAGUCUCUAUUCUGUGAACUGGAAAUAGUGCCUCCUCCAAUGGGUCACUGUGACUUAAAUGAGUCAUUGCAUGUAAAGGGCUUGGAACAGGGCCUGAUACAUUGCAAAUACCAGUAACUGUUAGAUUUGUUGCUAAAUAUGUGUCAGUGGCCCUGGCGGUGCUGGCCCCACCCAUUAAUGUGUACACAUCUUCCCCUACUGACCUGGCAAAAGAGUGUCCCCCAACAUACUGCUCUGAUGUUAGAGUGCCCCCCUUGUGGCUCUGCCCUUAGUCUCCAGGUCUCCUGAGGUGCCAUAGAGUGGGUUAUCUUGUUACAGGACAGCCCUUCCAUUCUGGGAAGUCCCUCUCCUUCCAAGACCUCUUUUAUCCAGGUUAAUCAUUUGUGGUCCUCAGAGCUGAUCUCUGCAGGCCCUGGCUACUGACCCCUUAGCCAUCCUGGGAGCACAUGGCCAUUUGUCUAUGUCCUUAAAGUACAUAGCUGAGAUCAGGGCACAGUCAUUUAGGGAUGUCUCAUGAUUGUCCCUUCAUAUCUGCUGAGUUUUGAGGACAGGCCAGUCAGGUGGCCAUAGGACAAGGUUUCUCUCCCAAGGGCUACCUCCAGGGUAACCCAGAUAGAAUAGAUGCUGAGCUCCCCAAGAAGGUCCAUAUGGAGCCGCAAAAAAAUGGAACCCCCUGGAGUUCUGGUGAGCACACAAGGGCAAAUCUGAGUAAAGGUAAGCCCAGCAGUUCCCUCACAUCUUCAUGAGCUGACUAUAGCAAUGUGCCUUGUCAUAGAUGGGAGAGGGCAGAUGGUGGCUCAUCCCAAAUGGGCAAUGCUCCACAACCUUUGGACCAUAGUAGGACUUAGAAUUUCCUGUUAAACUUUUGGUCAAUGUUUCUGGAAUGCAAAUAAAGUAAAUCAAAUCCCAAGGGAUAAUAAAGUGCUCUUGCUCUUUCUCUCGCUCUCUUGUUACCUGUGACUGUAUCCUAAAGACUAUCAUUAGUAUUAUACUACUAAUACAUAAUACUAACAAAUAAA